AGUUGGUAGGGUAAAGGCCUACCAAGGCUACGACGGGUCGCUGGUCUGAGAGGACGACCAGCCACACUGGCACUGAGAUACGGGCCAGACUCCUACGGGAGGCAGCAGUGAGGAAUAUUGCGCAAUGGGGGAAACCCUGACGCAGCAACGCCGCGUGUGGGAAGAAGGCCUUCGGGUCGUAAACCACUUUUGCACGGGACGAAAAAGGGAUAUCGAACAAAUAUCCCCGAUGACGGUACCGUGAGAAUAAGCCACGGCUAACUCUGUGCCAGCAGCCGCGGUAAGACAGAGGUGGCAAGCGUUGUUCGGAAUUACUGGGCGUAAAGAGUCUGUAGGUGGUUUGUCAAGUCUUUGGUGAAAGGCCGUAGCUUAACUAUGGGAAUGCCAAAGAGACUGGCAGGCUGGAGGCUGGGAGAGGGAAGCGGAAUUUCUGGUGUAGCGGUGAAA
RNAcentral lists this ribosomal RNA (447 nucleotides) under uncultured bacterium. RNAcentral's name for it is "bacterial SSU rRNA". It matches the Rfam family "Bacterial small subunit ribosomal RNA", at positions 247 to 686 of the family's 1533-position model. The record is from RNAcentral.